CCAAAGUAACCCAUGAGCCCAAAACAAAGUUUUGAGUGAGCCCAAUAUAGAAAAAAAACCGAAAAACACAUCGAAGAUACCUGCAGACAGAACGCCUCAAACCAAGACCCCAACAGCAUUCUAAAAUCCAGCCAAGAAAAGCCGCCCCAGGAGUGAAGAAACAGAAGACGCGAUCCUCCAACGAGCACCCUAGAAGUUGUAGUCACCAUUCGAAGGAAGCCUAUGGGAAUAAGCAACUCACAAGCAACAAUGCCAACGGGGGCACACAUACAAGUGGAAGAAGGUGAUACACCUUCCUGAGAGAAUCGCGAAAAUUCGAGAAAAAGAUUAGUGGUUACAAAUCUAAUAGGUGGCUUCAAGGAGAAACAGGAAAGGGCAUGGAUGACAGAGUGGCAAAGAGAGAACAGACAGGAAAUAAGAAAAGGGAUGACAGGGACCCUGGUUAUAGCUAGGGUGGAUCUGGAAACUCUCACACAAUGAAGAGAAGAACUCUCACAAAGAGAUAAGAACUCUAACGAGGAGAGAAGCAGGGCCUCCAAGGUGUCGGCCAAAAACAUAGGCCCAAGAAUUUGGUGGUAUGUUUUUUUAGACAUCUUCCGCCGGAAAAUUCCUCGAGGAGGUAUGUGCCAAUCAAGGAGUUGUUAUCGGAAGAAAUUUCCGCAGUUUAGCGGGAAACCACGGUGAAAGAUUUUGUCGCAUACUACUAUACGAAAGGGCUCAACGGGGUCCCUGCACUGGAUAUCUUAAGGUAUGAAGUUUGGCUGUCAAUAUGUAUGGUCUAGUUUAUUUAAUGAUUCAGUCUUGUGUAUACUUGCUAAGAUGAAAGCAUGUAUGGUCUAGGUUUCUGAGCAAUGGUCUUAUUUGUAUUCUAGAUUAUCAUUUAGAUUUAUUUCCUUGUAUUGCUCUGUUGUUUUUGUAUAAAUUCCUCUAAUUUGGAGAAAAUAAAGUACAGGAGAUUGUGAAAUUUAUUCUUAAAUAUAUAUUUUUAUAGUGA
Molecule: long non-coding RNA, 994 nt
Organism: Pyrus x bretschneideri (Chinese white pear)
Lineage: Eukaryota; Viridiplantae; Streptophyta; Magnoliopsida; Rosales; Rosaceae
Exons: 2
Source: RefSeq, a predicted model, not a curated record